Molecule: non-coding RNA, 97 nt
Filed under: Lacticaseibacillus nasuensis
Lineage: Bacteria; Bacillati; Bacillota; Bacilli; Lactobacillales; Lactobacillaceae
Also listed under: 1 other name
Description: Lactobacillus nasuensis TPP sequence
Rfam family: TPP riboswitch aptamer (THI element)
About the family: Vitamin B(1) in its active form thiamin pyrophosphate (TPP) is an essential coenzyme that is synthesised by coupling of pyrimidine and thiazole moieties in bacteria. The previously detected thiamin-regulatory element, thi box was extended, resulting in a new, highly conserved RNA secondary structure, the THI element, which is widely distributed in eubacteria and also occurs in some archaea.
Source: RNAcentral
ACCAUCACAAAGGGGAGCCAUUGGCUGAGAGUGGACUUGUCCAGACCCUUCGAACCUGUUCGUUAAUACGAGCGUAGGGAUUGUGUUGGCCGUGCAA